GCCUGGACAGUUCUGGAACAACGUCCAUCGGACAGAUGAGACAAAGAUCAACUUGUACCAGAAUGAUGAGUAGAAUAUGGAGAAGGGAAGGAACUGCUCAUGAUCUGAAGCAUACCACAUAAUCUGUGAAGCAUGGUGGAGGUGGUGUUAUGGAGAAGGGAAGGAACUGCUCAUGAUCUGAAGCAUACCACCUCAUCUGUGAAGCAUGGUGGAGGUGGUGUUAUGGUGUGGACAUGUAUGGCUGCUAAUGGAACCGGUUCCCUUGUAUUUAUUGAUGAUGUGACUGAUGACAAGCGGCAGGAUUCAUUCUGAAUGGUUUAGGACUAAUGUUAUUAUCUGCCCAGAUUCAGCCAAAUGCAAAGGAGUUGCCACCAAGUAUUAAAACUCACAAUUUAAUUGA
This is a long non-coding RNA of Oncorhynchus keta (chum salmon), 400 nucleotides long. RefSeq lists it as uncharacterized. NCBI's taxonomy places the organism in Eukaryota, Metazoa, Chordata, Actinopteri, Salmoniformes, Salmonidae. The transcript is spliced from 2 exons. The record is from RefSeq and is a predicted model, not a curated record.